This 389-nucleotide ribosomal RNA is filed under the name Pseudocalanus sp. RNAcentral's name for it is "partial small subunit ribosomal RNA". It matches the Rfam family "Eukaryotic small subunit ribosomal RNA", at positions 582 to 975 of the family's 1831-position model. Lineage: Eukaryota; Metazoa; Arthropoda; Copepoda; Calanoida; Clausocalanidae. The record is from RNAcentral.
AUUCCAGCUCCAAUAGCGUAUAUUAAAGUUGUUGUGGUUAAAAAGCUCGUAGUUGGAUCUCGGCGGUCUGAGGGCGGUUCGCUUCAGAGCGCUACUGCCCUAUAGACCGUAGUUUUGCCAGAGGUCUCAGGGUGCUCUUAACCGAGUGUCUUGCGAUGCUGGCAGGUUUACUUUGAAAAAAUUAGAGUGCUCAAAGCAAGCUUAUGCUCUGAAUACAUUAGCAUGGAAUAACAUGAUAGGAGUCUGGUCCUAUUGUGUUGGCCUUCGGGGCUGGAGUAAUGAUUAAUAGGGACUGAAGUGGGCAUUCGUAUUUCAUAGUCAGAGGUGAAAUUCUUGGAUUUAUGAAAGACGGACCACUGCGAAAGCAUUUUCCAAGGAUGUUUUCAUCG